RNAcentral lists this ribosomal RNA (282 nucleotides) under Theileria equi. RNAcentral describes it as "partial 18S ribosomal RNA". It matches the Rfam family "Eukaryotic small subunit ribosomal RNA", at positions 452 to 773 of the family's 1831-position model. Lineage: Eukaryota; Apicomplexa; Aconoidasida; Piroplasmida; Theileriidae. The record is from RNAcentral.
UGACACAGGGAGGUAGUGACAAGAAAUAACAAUACGGGGCUUUAAGUCUUGUAAUUGGAAUGAUGGGAAUUUAAACCUCUUCCAGAGUAUCAAUUGGAGGGCAAGUCUGGUGCCAGCAGCCGCGGUAAUUCCAGCUCCAAUAGCGUAUAUUAAACUUGUUGCAGUUAAAAAGCUCGUAGUUGAAUUUCUGCUGUAUCGUUAUCUUCUGCUUGACAGUUUGGUAUCGUUAUGGCUUGUUGGGUCACUUUGUGUCCCGGCGUUUGCUUUGAGACAAUUAGAGUG